AUGCUCACUGUGGCAGCACAUAUACUAAAAUUGAAACAAUACAGAAAUUAGCAUGGCCCCUACACAAGGAUGACACACAGUGCAAUACCUAUCAAAAUACAAGU
This is a non-coding RNA of Canis lupus familiaris (dog), 104 nucleotides long. Lineage: Eukaryota; Metazoa; Chordata; Mammalia; Carnivora; Canidae. The record is from Rfam.